RNAcentral lists this transfer RNA (76 nucleotides) under Chloroflexota bacterium. RNAcentral's name for it is "tRNA-Lys". It matches the Rfam family "tRNA". Rfam says of the family: Transfer RNA (tRNA) molecules are approximately 80 nucleotides in length. Their secondary structure includes four short double-helical elements and three loops (D, anti-codon, and T loops). Further hydrogen bonds mediate the characteristic L-shaped molecular structure. tRNAs have two regions of fundamental functional importance: the anti-codon, which is responsible for specific mRNA codon recognition, and the 3' end, to which the tRNAs corresponding amino acid is attached (by aminoacyl-tRNA synthetases). tRNAs cope with the degeneracy of the genetic code in two manners: having more than one tRNA (with a specific anti-codon) for a particular amino acid; and 'wobble' base-pairing, i.e. permitting non-standard base-pairing at the 3rd anti-codon position. Lineage: Bacteria; Bacillati; Chloroflexota. RNAcentral also lists the same sequence under 3 other names. The record is from RNAcentral.
GGGCCGCUAGCUCAAUUGGCAGAGCAGCUGACUCUUAAUCAGCGGGUUACAGGUUCAAGUCCUGUGCGGCUCACCA